UUGAAUUUAUCCCCCCCAAGAGGGCCCCCCCCCUCUAAAAUAUUUUCCCCCGGUUUUCCCCGGGGCCUCUUUUUUAAGACCCCCGGUGAAAAAACCCCCAAAAAGGGGGGAGAANUCAAAAUCCCCUAAGCCCCUUUUUUUCCAGGGGGUCCCCCGGGUUCCAAAUUUCUGCCGCCAAAAAGUGGACCUUCCCCCAGGGGGCGGGGGGGCUCCAAAAAACCGUCCUUUCGGGAGGAGUGUGCCCCCCCCCCCCCCAAAAGGAGUGCUGUGUAUAUCCAACCACCCCAGUGNCGGAAAAAAAAUUUCCCGGGCUUUACCACCCGCCCGUCACAUCACGAAAGUGGGUUGCACUAGAAGUCGGUGCGCUAACCGCAAGGGAGCAGCCGCCCAAGGUGUAAUUCAUGAUUGGGGUGAAGUCGUAACAAGGUAA
RNAcentral lists this ribosomal RNA (430 nucleotides) under uncultured bacterium. RNAcentral's name for it is "partial 16S ribosomal RNA". It matches the Rfam family "Bacterial small subunit ribosomal RNA", at positions 1074 to 1499 of the family's 1533-position model. The record is from RNAcentral.